CGCGUGAGAAUCUGCCUCUAGGUCGGGGACAACAGUUGGAAACGACUGCUAAUCCCGGAUGAGCCUAAUGGUCAAAGAUUUAUNUGCCUAGAGAGGAGCUCGCGUCCGAUUAGUUAGUUGGUGGGGUAAUGGCUCACCAAGACAGCGAUCGGUAGCUGGUCUGAGAGGACGAUCAGCCACACUGGGACUGAGACACGGCCCAGACUCCUACGGGAGGCAGCAGUGGGGAAUUUUCCGCAAUGGGCGAAAGCCUGACGGAGCAAUACCGCGUGCGGGAGGANAGGCCCUUGGGUCGUAAACCGCUUUUCUCAGGGAAGAAGUCCNUGACGGUACCUGAGGAAAAAGCCUCGGCUAACUCCGUGCCAGCAGCCGCGGUAAUACGGAGGAGGCAAGCGUUAUCCGGAAUUAUUGGGCGUAAAGCGUCCGCAGGUGGUAUUGUAAGUCUGCUGUCAAAGACAGAAGCUCAACUUCUGAUAGGCAGUGGAAACUGCAAAACUAGAGUACAGUAGGGGUAGAGGGAAUUCCCAGUGUAGCGGUGAAAUGCGUAGAGAUUGGGAAGAACACCGGUGGCGAAAGCGCUCUGCUGGGCUGUAACUGACACUGAGGGACGAAAGCUAGGGGAGCGAAUGGGA
Molecule: ribosomal RNA, 632 nt
Filed under: Spirulina rosea MOR353
Lineage: Bacteria; Bacillati; Cyanobacteriota; Cyanophyceae; Spirulinales; Spirulinaceae
Description: bacterial SSU rRNA
Rfam family: Bacterial small subunit ribosomal RNA
Source: RNAcentral